UACGUAGGGUGCAAGCGUUGUCCGGAAUUAUUGGGCGUAAAGAGCUCGUAGGCGGUCUGUCGCGUCUGCUGUGAAAACUCAGGGCUUAACCCUGAGCUUGCAGUGGGUACGGGCAGACUAGAGUGCGGUAGGGGAGACUGGAAUUCCUGGUGUAGCGGUGAAAUGCGCAGAUAUCAGGAGGAACACCGGUGGCGAAGGCGGGUCUCUGGGCCGUAACUGGACGCUG
Molecule: ribosomal RNA, 226 nt
Filed under: uncultured bacterium
Lineage: Bacteria
Description: partial 16S ribosomal RNA
Rfam family: Bacterial small subunit ribosomal RNA
Source: RNAcentral